Molecule: ribosomal RNA, 253 nt
Filed under: uncultured bacterium
Lineage: Bacteria
Description: partial 16S ribosomal RNA
Rfam family: Bacterial small subunit ribosomal RNA
Source: RNAcentral
GACAGAGGAUGCAAGCGUUAUCCGGAAUGAUUGGGCGUAAAGCGUCUGUAGGUGGCUUUUUAAGUCUGCCGUCAAAUCCCAGGGCUUAACCCUGGACAGGCGGUGGAAACUACCAAGCUGGAGUACGGUAGGGGCAGGGGGAAUUUCCGGUGGAGCGGUGAAAUGCGUAGAGAUCGGGAAGAACAUCGGUGGCGAAAGCGCUCUACUGGACGGCAACUGACACUCAGGGACGAAAGCUAGGGGAGCGAAUGGG